GGAGGUAGUGACAAUAAAUCACAAUGCGGGACUAUCAGUCUUGCAAUUGGAUUGAGAACAAUGUACAACUCUUAUCGAUAAGCCAUUGGAGGGCAAGUCUGGUGCCAGCAGCCGCGGUAAUUCCAGCUCCAAUAGCGUAUAUUAACGUUGUUGCAGUUAAAAAGCUCGUAGUUGAAGUGUGGGUGGUGCUGUCUGAAUGACUUCGGUUAGUCAGAUGAUCACUACCCCCUUCCAGUAUCCAAUAGUGGGUAUUCAGUUACUUACUAUUGUGUGUUGGUCGUUUACUGUGAGAAAAUUAGAGUGUUCAAAGCAGGCGUUUGCUUGAAUAGAUUAGCAUGGAAUAAUAAUUGAAGGCUUUCGUGUUCGAUUUGAUUGGUUUGUUCAUGGAAGCAAGGUUAAAAGGAACAGUUGGGGGUAUUCAUAUUCACUAGUUAGAGGUGAAAUUCUCGGAUUUAUGGAAGAUGAACAAGUGCGAAAGCA
This 480-nucleotide ribosomal RNA is filed under the name Blastocystis sp. Its description in RNAcentral is "SSU rRNA". It matches the Rfam family "Eukaryotic small subunit ribosomal RNA", at positions 460 to 953 of the family's 1831-position model. Lineage: Eukaryota; Bigyra; Opalinata; Blastocystidae. The record is from RNAcentral.